RNAcentral lists this small nucleolar RNA (137 nucleotides) under Ornithorhynchus anatinus (platypus). Lineage: Eukaryota; Metazoa; Chordata; Mammalia; Monotremata; Ornithorhynchidae. The record is from RNAcentral.
CCCCUCUCAGGGUCGCACUGGCGAGUUUCCAGUACUCUAACAGUCUCGGCUAUGGGAGGGAAAGUCAAGCAGAGGCCUACCCAUUCCAUUCCUAGCUUGGCCAGUGGUUAGCCAGUGGAAGGCAAUCUGCUACAAGU